GGUCUGGUCGGAAACCAGACAGGCAGAAGGAG
Regulatory RNA element from Olsenella uli DSM 7084, 32 nucleotides. It matches the Rfam family "L31-Coriobacteria ribosomal protein leader". The record is from Rfam. Lineage: Bacteria; Bacillati; Actinomycetota; Coriobacteriia; Coriobacteriales; Atopobiaceae.